GGUGCGGAAUAGUUUUAAGUAAUUAAACCAGGAGUAAUUUCAGUUGUGUGAUCUUGUUGUUCAGGACACUUGAGCUUUUCUGAAGUUGUCUAUUUUUCUUCUUUAAAAUGUGAUUCUUUGGUUCUUCGGUUAAAAGUUGUUGAUGGCUGCUGGCUUUAGACAUUAAUAGGGAUAGUCAAGUCUACCCAUACAUUUCUGUACACAUAGCAGUGCACCAUAUGUCUGGCAUCCUUGAAGCUGAAGAUGUUGUUCCCUCCAUCCUAAAUUACUAUUCAUUUUAACUUUUCUAGAUAC
This 294-nucleotide long non-coding RNA is filed under the name Setaria viridis. RNAcentral's name for it is "long non-coding RNA (SVIR_LNC008667)". The record is from RNAcentral. Lineage: Eukaryota; Viridiplantae; Streptophyta; Magnoliopsida; Poales; Poaceae.